UACGUAGGGUGCGAGCGUUAAUCGGAAUUACUGGGCGUAAAGCGUGCGCAGGCGGUUAUGCAAGACAGAUGUGAAAUCCCCGGGCUCAACCUGGGAACUGCAUUUGUGACUGCAUGGCUGGAGUGCGGCAGAGGGGGAUGGAAUUCCGCGUGUAGCAGUGAAAUGCGUAGAUAUGCGGAGGAACACCGAUGGCGAAGGCAAUCCCCUGGGCCUGCACUGACGCUCAUGCACGAAAGCGUGGGGAGCAAACGGG
This 253-nucleotide ribosomal RNA is filed under the name uncultured bacterium. RNAcentral's name for it is "partial 16S ribosomal RNA". It matches the Rfam family "Bacterial small subunit ribosomal RNA", at positions 524 to 776 of the family's 1533-position model. The record is from RNAcentral.